GAUGAACGCUGGCGGCGUGCUUAACACAUGCAAGUCGAACGAUGAUCCCAGCUUGCUGGGGGAUUAGUGGCGAACGGGUGAGUAACACGUGAGUAACCUGCCCUUAACUCUGGGAUAAGCCUGGGAAACUGGGUCUAAUACCGGAUAUGACUCCUCAUCGCAUGGUGGGGGGUGGAAAGCUUUAUUGUGGUUUUGGAUGGACUCGCGGCCUAUCAGCUUGUUGGUGAGGUAAUGGCUCACCAAGGCGACGACGGGUAGCCGGCCUGAGAGGGUGACCGGCCACACUGGGACUGAGACACGGCCCAGACUCCUACGGGAGGCAGCAGUGGGGAAUAUUGCACAAUGGGCGCAAGCCUGAUGCAGCGACGCCGCGUGAGGGAUGACGGCCUUCGGGUUGUAAACCUCUUUCAGUAGGGAAGAAGCGAAAGUGACGGUACCUGCAGAAGAAGCGCCGGCUAACUACGUGC
This 467-nucleotide ribosomal RNA is filed under the name Arthrobacter sp. S21102. RNAcentral describes it as "bacterial SSU rRNA". It matches the Rfam family "Bacterial small subunit ribosomal RNA", at positions 28 to 508 of the family's 1533-position model. Lineage: Bacteria; Bacillati; Actinomycetota; Actinomycetes; Micrococcales; Micrococcaceae. The record is from RNAcentral. RNAcentral also lists the same sequence under 2 other names.